AGCUGAGCAAUCAACUCAACCGUGGCCAAUCGCUGUUACAAAGUGAAUUGUACCGGACCGGUCCUGUGUUGUUAUCGCUAAUGAACUAGCUCAAGCUCUGGUAUGCAGCACAAACAAAAUUCGACCUUGGCUUUGUUCCGUGGCUUAUAUAAGUCUGGCACAGUUCGGGCGCAAGUCUGCCGGUGCUUGGUGAGUUGCGGUUGCGGCAACACUGACCGUCACGUCCGUGAUAUCCCACAAAAGCUGAGCAAUCAACUCAACCGUGGCCAAUCGCUGUUACAAAGUGAAUUGUACCGGACCGGUCCUGUGUUGUUAUCGCUAAUGAACUAGCUCAAGCUCUGGUAUGCAGCACAAACAAAAUUCGACCUUGGCUUUGUUCCGUGGCUUAUAUAAGUCUGGCACAGUUCGGGCGCAAGUCUGCCGGUGCUUGGUGAGUUGCGGUUGCGGCAACACUGACCGUCACGUCCGUGAUAUCCCACAAAAGCUGAGCAAUCAACUCAACCGUGGCCAAUCGCUGUUACAAAGUGAAUCGUAAAAUUUGUUGAAAAAACACUCAUAGAUUUGACAUCAUCUUCUAUUUGUAUAAUAAAACGUGAAAAAUAAGUUAUGUUCACAAUAGUCAGGCCCAGCAUUGCACCAGUCACAUGGUCGCCGCGGCCUGACGAUUUGAUUAUAUUAAUUAUUAUUAUUAAUCAAUUUUUUUUUAUAGCUAUGUAUUUUUUGCAUCAGAAAAACCGAUGUUUUAUAAACUCACUAUGGCAAAUGUUGCGUUUCCAGCGUUGCGUUUCAAAUAAUAGAAGGGGAACGCUAAAAAAAUGGGACGGCGAUGAACACCGUCCUUGGGGGUUUACCUCUAAUUCAUGUACUUAGUCCAAGAUCACUAUUUCAUAAUAUUUUUAUUAUAAUAACUCCUUAGGAAUUUAUACUA
Long non-coding RNA from Rhopalosiphum padi (bird cherry-oat aphid), 928 nucleotides. RefSeq lists it as uncharacterized. The transcript is spliced from 5 exons. The record is from RefSeq and is a predicted model, not a curated record. NCBI's taxonomy places the organism in Eukaryota, Metazoa, Arthropoda, Insecta, Hemiptera, Aphididae.